This is a long non-coding RNA of Suricata suricatta (meerkat), 1201 nucleotides long. RefSeq lists it as uncharacterized. The transcript has 5 exons. NCBI's taxonomy places the organism in Eukaryota, Metazoa, Chordata, Mammalia, Carnivora, Herpestidae. The record is from RefSeq and is a predicted model, not a curated record.
UUCAUGUGAUGGAAUUUAUGAUGAUUUUCAUUUCCUUUGUUAUACUUUUCUUCAUUGACUAAUUUUAUUCCAAGUAAAAUCAGUUAGAGAUUACAAAAGUCUCUGUUUUUAUAAUCAGAGAAAACAAUAGUGUCGGUUCCAUGUGGGAAAAUGAGUGCUGUUUAACAGAAGUCUGCAGGACAUUAAAGUAGGGAGUCAGAAUAUGGGUACAGAUUCAAGCUUUGUUUAGCAAAGAUGUCUUAAUCUCCUUUCUGAGAGUGAUUCUAUUUGGGCAGCAAAUCCUACAUUGAAAAUUGUUCCAGAUCUCAAGUUAUGUAACUGAACAGAUGGCAGUUGCAUGGCUUUGGCAUGUUGGGCUACAAUCAUAGCACACACUGAGGACCCAGCUCUAGAGACUUCCAGUGGACAAGCAGACGGCUCCCGGGAGCAAACAGACAGGUGUGGCUGUGGGAUGAGAUGAAGAAUUGCACCUUGGCUCAGCUUCCCAUGGUCACUACCCAGGAACAAAUUCCUCAGGAUCCUGAAAGAGGACCUCUAGACCUAAGAGGCAAGAAGAAGAGAAGGUUACAAGUGUCUGGAGAAGUCCACCCAUAUGAUCUGUAGCCUGUGGUUGAAGACUGUAACUAUUGUUAGGCCAUGACCUGGCAGGGUGGAAGAAAUCUGUUUCUUCAUCCUUCUUCUGAUCUUCUGCUUGUGAUGCUCAUUGGUCAAAGUCCAUCAGAAACCAGAGAGCCAAGGAGCCAAGUUGGUGCAGUGCUCAGGGGCCAGCCUCCUGGAACCACACAACAAGGAGCCCUCUCGGGGAGAGUACUUAGCGUGAUCAGAACGGACAACUUGGGAAGUUGCUUAGGCUGGCACAACGACACUUCCAAGAAAAUGCUGAAAGAGAAAACUGAUGGCCUGAACUGCCCUCUGAAAGUGGCGAUUCCAGUUAACUGUCGGAAUUUUUUGCUGGCUGGAGUUUGCCAGUUUGGGACCAGAGCUGAACUGCAAGGGUCAAGCAAGGAGAGACAAACUUCUGUUCCAGUUACCCACAAGAAGCCCUUUGCCUCCAUUCCAAGAAAAUGUCAUGAUCUUACAGUUCCUGGGAUCCGGCCCUGCGUUGGACUGUGUACUAACACCAUGGAGUCUGCAUGGGAUUCUCUCUCUCUCUCUCUCUCUCUCUCUCUCUCUCUCUCUCUCUCUCUCUCUCUCUCUCUCU